RNA transcript from Pan troglodytes (chimpanzee), 15682 nucleotides. It is a transcript of the gene named SCO-spondin, pseudogene, with no coding region annotated. NCBI's taxonomy places the organism in Eukaryota, Metazoa, Chordata, Mammalia, Primates, Hominidae. The transcript has 104 exons. The record is from RefSeq and is a predicted model, not a curated record.
AUGCUACUCCCUGCCCUCCUCUUUGGGAUGGCGUGGGCCCUGGCUGACGGAACAGAGACCAUCCGUGUGGAGGAGGAAUUAGCACCCCGUCAGGAGGACCUGGUACCCUGUGCCAGCCUUGACCAUUACAGCCGCCUGGGCUGGCGGCUGGACCUGCCCUGGAGUGGCCGCUCGGGGCUUACCCGGUCCCCAGCGCCUGGGCUCUGUCCUAUCUACAAACCUCCAGAAACCCGGCCUGCCAAGUGGAACCGGACAGUGAGGGCUUGUUGCCCAGGCUGGGGGGGCGCCCACUGCACUGAGGCCCUUGCCAAAGCCAGUCCUGAAGGCCACUGCUUUGCCAUGUGGCAGUGCCAGCUACAGGCAGGCUCAGCUAAUGCCUCAGCAGGAAGCCUGGAGGAGUGCUGCGCCCGGCCCUGGGGACGAAGCUGGUGGGAUGGCAGCUCCCAGGCCUGCCUCAGCUGCUCCAGCCGACACCUGCCAGGCAGUGCCUCUUCUCCAGCCCUCCUGCAGCCCCUGGCAGGGGCUGUGGGCCAGCUCUGGAGCCAGCACCAGCGUCCCUCGGCCACCUGUGCCUCCUGGUCGGGCUUCCACUACCGCACCUUUGAUGGCCGCCACUAUCACUUCCUGGGCCGCUGCACCUACCUGCUGGCGGGUGCUGCGGACUCCACCUGGGCUGUCCACCUAACACCCGGGGACCGCUGCCCCCAGCCUGGACACUGUGAGCGGGUCCAGGUGACUAUGGGACCUGAGGAGGUGCUGAUCCAGGCUGGAAAUGUGUCUGUGAAGGGGCAGCUGGUACCUGAAGGGCAGUCUUGGCUGCUCCACGGGCUGAGCCUGCAAUGGCUGGGGGACUGGCUGGUGCUGUCAGGGGGCCUGGGGGUCGUGGUGCGGCUGGACAGGACUGGCUCCAUCUCCAUCUCUGUGGACCACGAGCUCUGGGGACAGACACAAGGCCUCUGUGGGCUCUACAAUGGCUGGCCAGAGGAUGACUUCAUGGAGCCAGGCGGAGGGCUGGCCAUGUUAGCAGCCACCUUUGGAAAUUCCUGGAGGCUCCCUGGCUCGGAGCCUGGGUGUCUGGAUGCAGUGGAGGUGGCCCAGGGCUGUGACGGCCCCCUGGGGCUCACAGACGCAGAUGUAGAACCUGGCCACCUGCGGGCUGAAGCCCAGGACGUGUGCCAUCAGCUGCUGGAAGGUCCAUUCGGGCAGUGCCAUGCCCAGGUUUCCCCUGCUGAGUACCACGAGGCCUGUCUCUUUGCCUACUGCGCAGGGGCCAUGGCAGGCAGUGGGCAAGAGGGGUGGCAGCAGGCUGUUUGUGCCACCUUUGCCAGCUAUGUCCAGGCCUGUGCCAGGCGGCACAUCCACAUUCGCUGGAGGAAGCCUGGCUUCUGCGAGCGCCUGUGCCCCGGGGGCCAGCUCUACUCCGACUGCGUCUCCCUCUGCCCACCCAGCUGCGAGGCGGUGGGUCAGGGAGAGGAGGAGUCCUGCAGGGAAGAGUGUGUGAGUGGCUGUGAGUGCCCGCGAGGCCUCUUCUGGAAUGGCACCCUCUGUGUGCCUGCUGCCCACUGCCCCUGCUACUACCGCCGCCAGCGCUAUGCACCCGGUGACACCGUGCGCCAGCUGUGUAACCCCUGCGUGUGCAGGGAUGGCCGCUGGCACUGUGCCCAGGCCCUGUGCCCCGCCGAGUGUGCCGUGGGUGGGGACGGGCACUACCUCACCUUCGAUGGGCGGAGCUACUCCUUCCGGGGUGGUCAAGGUUGCCGCUACAGCCUGGUGCAGGACUAUGUGAAGGGACAGCUACUGAUCCUACUGGAGCAUGGGGCCUGCAACGCUGGGAGCUGCCUCCACGCCAUCUCCGUCUCCCUGGAGGACACCCACAUCCAGCUCAGGGACUCAGGAGCUGUGCUGGUCAAUGGGCAGGAUGUGGACUUGCCCUGGAUUGGCGCUGAGGGCCUCAGUGUGCGCCGAGCUUCCUCUGCCUUUCUGCUGCUGCGCUGGCCUGGGGCCCAGGUGCUCUGGGGACUGUCUGACCCUGCAGCCUACAUCACCCUGGACCCCCGCCAUGCCCACCAGGUGCAGGGUCUGUGUGGUACCUUCACCCAGAACCAGCAGGACGACUUCCUGACACCAGCCGGAGAUGUGGAAACUAGCAUUGCUGCCUUUGCUAGCAAGUUCCAGGUGGCCGGCAAGGGAAGAUGCCCCUCUGGGGACAGUGCCCUGCUGUCUCCCUGCACCACCCACUCCCAGCGCCACGCCUUCGCAGAGGCAGCCUGUGCCAUCCUGCACAGCUCUGUCUUCCAGGAAUGCCACAGGCUGGUGGACAAAGAGCCAUUCUAUCUGCGCUGCCUGGCAGCCGUGUGUGGCUGUGAUCCCGGCAGUGACUGCCUGUGCCCGGUGCUGUCUGCCUAUGCGCGUCGCUGUGCCCAGGAAGGUGCCUCACCUCCCUGGAGGAACCAGACCCUCUGCCCUGUUAUGUGUCCUGGUGGCCAGGAGUACCGAGAGUGUGCCCCAGCAUGCGGUCAACACUGCGGGGAACCAGAGGACUGUGGAGAGCUGGGCAGCUGUGUGGCUGGUUGUAACUGUCCUCUGGGGCUGCUGUGGGACCCUGAGGGCCAGUGUGUGCCCCCCAGCUUGUGCUCUUGCCAGCUCGGAGCCCGUCGCUAUGCCCCUGGCAGUGCCACCAUGAAGGAGUGCAACCGCUGCAUCUGCCAGGAAAGGGGCCUCUGGAAUUGCACAGCUCGCCACUGCCCUUCACAGCGGGCAUUCUGCCCCAGGGAGCUUGUCUAUGCCCCUGGUGCCUGUCUCCUCACCUGUGACAGCCCCAGCGCCAAUCACUCCUGCCCUGCAGGCAGUACUGAUGGCUGUGUCUGUCCACCAGGCACGGUGCUGCUGGACGAGCGCUGUGUGCCUCCUGACCUCUGUCCCUGCUGUCACAGUGGGCAGUGGUACCUGCCCAAUGCCACCAUCCAGGAAGACUGCAACGUUUGCGUGUGCCAGGGCCGGCAGUGGCACUGCACAGGCCAGCGGUGCAGUGGGCGGUGCCAGGCAUCAGGCGCCCCCCACUAUGUGACAUUUGACGGACUGGCCUUCACCUAUCCUGGGGCCUGCGAGUAUCUGCUGGUGGGAGAGGCCAGUGGCCUAUUCACAGUCUCUGCCCAGAACCUGCCCUGUGGGGCCAGCGGUCUCACCUGCACCAAAGCGCUGGCCGUGCGUCUGGAGGGCACUGUUGUGCACAUCCUCAGAGGCCGGGCAGUGACGGUGAAUGGGGUGAGCGUGACGCCCCCCAAGGUCUACACAGGCCCCGGGCUGAGCCUGCGUCGUGCUGGCCUCUUCCUGCUGCUCUCCACCCGCCUGGGCCUCACCCUGCUCUGGGGUGGAGGGACUCAGGUCCUGGUGCAACUGUCCCCUCAGUUCCGUGGUCGCGUGGCUGGGCUGUGUGGUGACUUUGAUGGAGAUGCCAGUAAUGAUCUGCGGAGCCGCCAGGGCGUCCUGGAGCCCACAGCUGAACUGGCCGCCCACUCCUGGCGCCUCAGCCCCCUCUGUCCUGAGCCAGGAGACCUGCCACACCCCUGCACGAUGAACGCACAUUGGGCUGGUUGGGCUCGGGCCCGCUGUGGGGCGCUGCUGCAGCCGCUCUUCGCAUCAUGCCACGCGGAAGUCCCCCCACAGCAGCACUAUGAGUGGUGCCUGUAUGACGCCUGUGGCUGCAACUCAGGGGGUGACUGUGAGUGCCUCUGCUCGGCCAUUGCCACCUAUGCAGAUAAGUGUGCCCGGCAUGGGCACCACGUGCGCUGGCGUAGCCAGGAGCUCUGCCCCCUGCAGUGUGAAGGGGGACAGGUAUAUGAGGCCUGUGGCCCCACAUGUCCCCCCACCUGCCAUGAGCAGCAUCCUGCGCCCGGGUGGCACUGCCAGGUGGUGGCCUGUGUGGAGGGCUGCUUCUGCCCCGAGGGGACUCUGCUGCACGGAGGAGCCUGCUUGGAGCCAGCUUCCUGCCCCUGUGAGUGGGGCCGCAACUCCUUCCCGCCGGGGUCUGUGCUGCAAAAGGACUGCGGGAACUGCACGUGCCAGGAAGGUCAAUGGCAUUGUGGGGGUGACAGUGGCCACUGUGAGGGGCUUGUGCCUGCCUGUGCAGAGGGAGAGGCCCUGUGCCAAGAGAAUGGGCACUGUGUGCCCCAUGGGUGGCUCUGUGACAACCAGGACGACUGUGGCGAUGGCUCUGAUGAGGAGGGUUGUGCCGCCCCAGGCUGUGGGGAGGGGCAGAUGACUUGCAGCUCCGGCCACUGCCUGCCCCUGGCCCUGCUCUGUGACGGCCAGGAUGACUGUGGAGAUGGCACGGAUGAGCAGAGCUGUCCGUGCCCCCAGGGCUUGCUGGCCUGUGCCGAUGGACGCUGCCUGCCGCCGGCCCUGCUCUGCGAUGGGCAUCCUGUCUGUCCGGACGCCGCCGAUGAGGAGUCCUGUCUGGGGCAGGUGACCUGCGUCCCCGGGGAGGUGUCCUGUGUCGAUGGCACCUGCCUGGGGGCCAUCCAGCUGUGUGACGGAGUCUGGGACUGCCCAGAUGGAGCCGAUGAGGGGCCGGGACACUGCCCCCUACCUUCUCUGCCCACGCCUCCUGCCAGCACCUUGCCUGGCCCCUCCCCUGGCUCCCUGGACACUGCGUCAAGUCCUCUGGCCAGCGCCAGCCCUGCGCCACCCUGCGGCCCCUUCGAGUUUCGGUGCGGCAGCGGCGAGUGCACCCCGCGGGGCUGGCGCUGCGACCAGAAGGAAGACUGCGCCGACGGCAGCGACGAGCGCGGCUGCGGAGGGCCCUGCGCGCCGCACCACGCGCCCUGCGCCCGCGGCCCUCACUGCGUGUCCCCCGAGCAGCUGUGCGACGGCGUGCGGCAGUGUCCCGACGGCUCGGACGAGGGCCCCGACGCCUGCGGCUCCACCCAGCUGCCUCCGUGCCCUGGCCUCUUUCCCUGUGGUGUGGCUCCGGGGCUGUGCCUGACCCCUGAGCAGCUCUGUGAUGGGAUCCCAGACUGUCCCCACGGCGAGGACGAGCUGGACUGCGGGGGGCUGCCAGCCCUGGGAGGCCCCAACAGGACAGGGCUUCCCUGCCCAGAAUACACCUGCCCCAAUGGCACCUGCAUAGGCUUCCAGCUGGUGUGUGAUGGGCAGCCUGACUGUGGAAGGCCAGGGCAGGUGGGCCCCUCCCCAGAAGAGCAGGGUUGUGGGGCCUGGGGCCCCUGGAGCCCAUGGGGGCCCUGCAGCCGGACGUGUGGGCCCAGGGGCCAGGGCCGGAGCCGCCGCUGCUCCCCACUCGGCCUCCUGGUGCUACAGAACUGCCCAGGGCCUGAGCACCAGUCUCAGGCCUGCUUCACGGCAGCCUGCCCAGUGGACGGUGAAUGGAGCGCCUGGUCCCCCGGUCUGUGUGCUCUGAGCCGUGCAGGGGCACCAUGACGCGGCAACGGCAGUGCCACCCACCCCAGAAUGGGGGCCGCACCUGUGCUGCACUGCCCGGAGGCCCGCACAGCACCCGCCAGACCAAGCCUUGCCCUCAGGACGGCUGCCCCAAUGCCACCUGCUCUGGGGAGCUGAUGUUCCAGCCCUGUGCCCCCUGCCCACUGACCUGUGAUGACAUAUCUGGCCAGGUCACGUGCCCACCUGAUCGGCCCUGCGGCAGCCCGGGCUGCUGGUGCCCAGAAGGGCAGGUGCUGGGCAGCGAGGGGUGGUGUGUGUGGCCCCGGCAGUGCCCCUGCCUGGUGGACGGUGCCCGCUACUGGCCCGGGCAACGCAUCAAGGCCGACUGCCGGCUCUGCAUCUGCCAAGACGGAUGGCCCCGACGCUGCCGACUCAACCCGGACUGCGCUGUGGACUGUGGCUGGUCCUCCUGGUCACCCUGGGCUGAGUGCCUGGGCCCCUGUGGAAGCCAGAGCAUCCAGUGGUCCUUCCGGAGCCCCAACAACCCCCGCCCCUCCGGCCGAGGUCGCCAGUGCCGUGGCAUCCACCGCAAGGCACGCAGGUGCCAGACGGAGCCCUGUGAGGGGUGUGAGCAUCAGGGCCAGGUCCACCGUGUCGGGGAACGCUGGCGUGGGGGCCCCUGCAGGGUGUGCCAGUGUCUGCACAACCUCACCGCACGCUGCUCACCCUACUGCCCGCUCGGCAGCUGCCCCCAGGGCUGAGUCUUGGUGGAGGGGACGAGAGAAUCAUGCUGCCACUGUGCCCUACCUGGAGAGAACCAGAUGGUCCAGCCCAUGGCCACUCCUGCCGCAGCUCCGGCUCCCAGUCCCCAGAUCAGAUUCCCUUUGGCCACUUACAUUCUGCCUCCGCCAGGAGUCCCCUGCUAUUUUCCCCUGGGGCUGGCGGGACUGGCUGAGGGGAGUCUGCAUGCAUCGUCCCAGCAGCUGGAACACCCCACCCAGGCUGCCCUCCUGGGGGCUCCCACCCAGGGGCCCAGCCCUCAGGGAUGGCACGCUGGAGGGGAUGCUUAUGCCAAGUGGCACACUCGGCCCCAUUACCUGCAGCUGGACCUGCUUCAGCCUCGGAACCUCACUGGCAUCAUAGUGCCGGAGGCUGGCUCCUCCAACGCAUAUGCCAGCAGCUUCUCACUCCAGUUCAGCAGCAAUGGUCUACACUGGCAUGACUAUUGUGACCUCCUGCCUGGCAUCUUGCCCCUGCCCAAGCUUUUCCCCAGAAACUGGGAUGACCUGGACCCUGCCGUAUGGACUUUCGGCCGCAUGGUGCAGGCGAGGUUUGUCAGGGUGUGGCCCCACGAUGUCCACCACAGCGAUGUCCCCCUGCAGGUGGAGCUGCUGGGCUGCGAGCCAGGGUCCCCACCGGCACCUCUGUGCCCAGGGGUUGGAUUCCGCUGUGCCAGUGGUGAGUGUGUCCUGAGAGGGGGCCCAUGUGACGGUGCUCUGGACUGCGAGGAUGGCUCGGAUGAGGAGGGCUGUGUGUUGCUGCCUGAGGGCACUGGCAGAUUCCAUUCCACAGCCAAGACCCUGGCCCUCUCCUCUGCCCAGCCGGGGCAGCUGCUGCACUGGCCCAGGGAGGGCCUGGUAGAGACUGAGCACUGGCCUCCCGGGCAGGAAUCCCCCACGUCCCCGACAGAGACAAGGCCCGUGAGUCCUGGCCCAGCCUCCGGGGUGCCUCACCAUGGGGAAUCUAUGCAGAUGGUGACCACCACCCCCAUACCCCAGAUGGAGGCCAGGACCCUGCCACCAGGUAUGGCAGCUGUGACGGUGCUGCCCCCACACCCUGUGACUCCAGCGACCCCUGCUGGCCAGAGCGUCGCCCCAGGACCCUUCCCACCUGUGCAGUGUGGCCCCGGCCAGACGCCCUGUGAGGUGCUGGGCUGCGUGGAACAGGCGCAGGUGUGUGAUGGCAGGGAGGAUUGCCUCGACGGCUGCGCGAGCACUGUGCCCUUCAUGGUGCCUACCACGGCCCUGCCUGGGCUUCCAGCCUCAAGGGCCCUCUGUUUCCCGAGCCAGCUGAGCUGUGGCAGCGGGGAGUGUCUGUCUGCUGAGCGGCGCUGUGACCUGCAGCCUGACUGCCAGGAUGGCUCGGACGAGGAUGGCUGUGUGGACUGCGUGCUGGGCCCCUGGUCUGUCUGGAGCAGCUGCAGCCGCAGCUGUGGCCUGGGCCUCACCUUCCAGCGCCAGGAGCUGCUGCGGCCUCCUCUGCCAGGGGGCAGCUGCCCGCGUGACCGGUUCCGAAGCCAGUCCUGCUUUGUGCAGGCCUGCCCAGUGGCUGGGGCAUGGGCCAUGUGGGAGGCCUGGGGACCCUGCAGCGUCUCCUGCGGGGGUGGCCAUCAGAGUCGCCAGAGAAGCUGUGUGGACCCCCCACCCAAGAAUGGCGGUGCCCCCUGCCCUGGGGCCUCCCAAGAGAGGGCACCCUGCGGCUUGCAGCCCUGCUCAGGUGGCACAGACUGCGAGCUGGGCCGUGUGUAUGUGAGUGCCGAUCUGUGCCAGAAGGGGCUGGUGCCCCCAUGCCCACCCUCCUGCCUGGAUCCCAAGGCCAACAGAAGCUGCAGUGGGCAUUGUGUGGAAGGAUGCCGCUGUCUCCCGGGGCUCCUUCUGCAUGACACUCGCUGCCUGCCCCUCUCUGAGUGCCCCUGCCUGGUGGGCGAAGAGCUGAAGUGGCCAGGGGUGUCCUUCCUCCUGGGCAACUGCAGCCAAUGCGUGUGUGAGAAGGGGGAGUUGCUGUGCCAACCAGGGGGCUGCCCCCUGCCCUACGGCUGGUCAGCCUGGUCCUCCUGGGCUCCCUGCGACCGCUCCUGUGGCUCUGGAGUGAGGGCCAGGUUCAGGUCUCCCUCCAACCCUCCGGCAGCCUGGGGGGGUGCCCCGUGUGAAGGUGACCGGCAGGAACUGCAGGGCUGCCACACAGUGUGUGGGACAGAGGUGUUGGGCUGGACACCCUGGACUUCCUGGUCCUCCUGCUCCCAAAGCUGCCUUGCCCCGGGAGGGGGCCCUGGCUGGCGCAGUCGUUCCCGACUCUGCCCCAGCCCUGGGGAUUCAUCCUGCCCAGGAGACGCCACCCAGGAGGAGCCCUGCAGCCCCCCUGUACGCCCAGUGCCAAGUGUCUGGGGUCUGUGGGCUCCCUGGUCCACUUGCUCAGCCCCCUGUGAUGGAGGCAUCCAGACACGCGGGUGCAGCUGCUCCAGCUUGGCUCCAGGGGACACCACGUGCCCAGGACCCCACAGUCAGACCAGGGACUGCAACACGCAGCCCUGCACAGCCCAGUGCCCAGAGAACAUGGUGUUCCGCUCAGCAGAGCAGUGUCACCAGGAGGGGGGUCCUUGCCCUCGGCUAUGCCUGACGCAGGGCCCCGGGAUAGAGUGUACGGGCUUCUGCGCCCCCGGCUGCACCUGCCCCUGCCCCGCUGGUCUCUUCCUGCACAAUGCUAGCUGCCUGCCCCGCAGCCAGUGCCCCUGCCAGCUGCACGGGCAGCUCUAUGCAUCAGGAGCAAUGGCUCGCCUGGACUCCUGCAACAACUGCACCUGUGUCUCCGGUGAGAUGGCAUGCACCUCGGAGCGCUGCCCAGUGGCCUGUGGCUGGAGUCCCUGGACCCCGUGGAGUCUCUGUAGCCGCAGCUGCAAUGUGGGCAUUCGGCGCCGCUUCCGGGCAGGCACUGCACCCCCAGCUGCCUUUGGGGGUGCUGAGUGCCAAGGCCCCACCAUGGAGGCUGAAUUCUGCAGCCUGCGGCCAUGUCCAGGUCCUGGUGGGGAGUGGGGCCCUUGGUCUCCGUGCUCUGUGCCCUGUGGUGGUGGCUACAGGAACCGCACCCGAGGCAGCGGCCUGCGCAGCCUCAUGGAGUUUUCCACCUGUGGCCUGCAGCCCUGCGCAGGGCCAGUGCCUGGCGUGUGUCCCAGGGACAAGCAGUGGCUGGACUGUGCCCAGGGCCCUGCCUCUUGUGCAGAGCUCAGCGCCCCAGGAGGGACUAACCAGACCUGCCACCCUGGCUGCCACUGCCCCUCUGGGAUGCUUCUGCUGAACAACGUGUGUGUGCCCACCCAGGACUGCCCCUGUGCCCACGAGGGGCACCUCUACCCCCCGGGCAGCACUGUGGUUCGUCCAUGUGAAAACUGCUCCUGUGUCUCCGGGCUCAUCGCCAACUGCAGCUCCUGGCCUUGUGCGGAGGGUGAGCCCACGUGGUCACCCUGGACCCCUUGGAGCCAGUGUUCAGCGUCCUGCGGCCCUGCCCGGCGCCAUUGGCACCGGUUCUGUGCCAGGUCCCCCAGUGCAGUGCCAUCCACCGUGGCUCCGCUGCCCCUGCCAGCCACCCCCACACCUCUCUGCUCAGGCCCCAAGGCUGAAGAGGAGCCAUGUCUCCUGCAGGGGUGUGAUCGAGCUGGGGGAUGGGGUCCAUGGGGGCCCUGGUCCCACUGUAGCCGGAGCUGUGGGGGAGGCCUGCGGAGCCGGACCCGGGCCUGUGACCAGCCCCCACCCCAGGGCCUCGGGGAUUACUGCGAGGGGCCACGGGCACAGGGGGAGGUCUGCCAGGCUCUGCCCUGCCCAGUGACCAACUGCACCGCCAUUGAAGGGGCCGAGUAUAGCCCCUGUGGCCCUCCGUGCCCUCGCUCCUGUGAUGACCUAAUGCACUGCGUGUGGCGCUGCCAGCCUGGCUGCUACUGCCCACCAGGCCAGGUACUGAGUUCCAGUGGGGCCAUCUGCGUGCAGCUGGGUCACUGCAGCUGCCUGGACCUGCUGACCGGGCAGCGGCACCAUCCGGGUGCUCGGCUGGCAAGGCCUGAUGGCUGCAACCACUGCACCUGCCUGGAGGGGAGGCUGAACUGCACAGACCUGCCCUGCCCAGUGCCCGGAGGCUGGUGCCCGUGGUCGGAGUGGACAAUGUGCUCCCAGCCCUGCAGGGGCCAGACCAGGAGCCGCUCCAGGGCCUGUGCCUGCCCCACUCCUCAGCACGGUGGUGCCCCGUGCACUGGAGAGGCUGGGGAGGCAGGGGCCCAGCAUCAGAGGGAGGCCUGCCCCAGCUACGCCACGUGCCCAGUGGACAGAGCCUGGGGCCCAUGGGGGCCAUGGUCUCCCUGCGACAUGUGCUUGGGGCAGUCCCACCGGAGCCGGGCGUGCAGCCGGCCCCCCACCCCUGAGGGAGGGAGGCCCUGCCCUGGGAGCCACAUGCAGAGUCGCCCUUGCCAGGAAAAUUCCACCCAGUGCACAGACUGCAGGGGUGGCCAGAGUCUGCACCCCUGUGGGCAGCCCUGCCCUCGCUCCUGCCAGGACCUGUCCUCUGGGAGUGUGUGCCAGCCAGGCUCUGUGGGCUGCCAGCCCAGUUGUGGGUGCCCCCUGGGCCAGCUCUCCCAGGACGGGCUGUGCGUGCCCCCAGACCACUGCCGCUGCCAGUACCAGCCUGGAGCCAUGGGGAUCCCUGAGAACCAGAGCCGCUCAGCAGGGUCUAGGUUUAGCUCCUGGGAGAGCCUGGAACCCGGAGAGGUGGUCACUGGGCCAUGUGACAACUGCACCUGUGUGGCAGGCAUUCUGCAAUGCCAGGAGGUGCCCGACUGCCCGGACCCUGGGGUGUGGAGCUCUUGGGGCCCUUGGGAAGACUGCAGUGUUUCGUGUGGGGGCGGGGAGCAGCUGCGCUCCUGGCGCUGUGCUCGUCCUCCCUGCCCAGGGCCUGCCCGCCAGAGCCGCACGUGCAGCACACAGGUCUGCAGAGAGGCAGGCUGCCCGACUGGCCGCCUGUACCGUGAAUGCCAGCCCGGCGAGGGAUGCCCCUUCUCCUGCGCCCACGUCACGCAGCAGGUGGGCUGCUUCUCCGAGGGCUGCGAGGAGGGCUGCCACUGCCCCGAGGGCACCUUCCAGCACCGCCUGGCCUGUGUGCAGGAGUGCCCUUGUGUGCUGACAGCCUGGCUGCUGCAGGAGCUGGGAGCCACCAUAGGUGACCCUGGUCAGCCCCUCAGGCCUGGAGAUGAGCUGGACUCAGGCCAGACACUUCGUACAAGCUGUGGCAACUGCUCGUGUGCACACGGGAAGCUGUCUUGCUCCCUGGACGACUGCUUCGAGACCGAUGGUGGUUUCGGUCCCUGGAGCCCGUGGGGCCCGUGCUCCCGCUCCUGUGGAGGGCUGGGCACCCAUACCCGCAGCCGCCAGUGUGUGCUCACCAUGCCCACCCUCAGUGGUCAGGGCUGCCGUGGGCCCCACCAGGACCUCGAGUACUGCCCCAGCCCAGACUGCCCUGGGGCUGAAGGGUCCAUGGUGGAGCCAGUGACAGGCCUUCCAGGUGGCUGGGGCCCGUGGUCCUCCUGGUCCCCCUGCUCCAGAAGCUGCACGGACCCCGCUCGCCCUGCAUGGCGCAGCCGCAGCCGCCUCUGCCUGGCUAACUGCACCAUGGGGGACCCAUUACAGGAGCGCCCCUGCAACCUGCCCUCAUGCACAGAGCUGCCCGUGUGCCCUGGCCCUGGCUGUGGGGCUGGGAAAUGUUCCUGGACCUCCUGGGCCCCGUGGGAACCUUGCUCCCGCAGCUGCGGGGUGGGCCAGCAGCGCCGCCUGCGGGCAUACCAUCCCCCUGGGCCCGGCGGGCACUGGUGCCCCAACAUCCUUACUGCCUACCAAGAGCGCCGCUUCUGCAACCUGCGAGCCUGCCCAGUGCCCGGGGGCUGGUCACGCUGGAGUCCCUGGUCCUGGUGUGACCGCAGCUGUGGAGGAGGCCAAUCCCUGAGAAGCCGCAGCUGCUCAAGCCCCCCAUCCAAGAACGGGGGAGCCCCCCGUGCUGGGGAGCGGCACCAGGCCCGCCUCUGCAAUCCCAUGCCUUGUGAGGCCGGCUGCCCAGCAGGCAUGGAGGUGGUCACCUGUGCCAACCGCUGCCCCCGCCGCUGCUCAGACCUCCAGGAGGGAAUUGUGUGUCAGGACGACGAGGUCUGCCAGAAGGGCUGCCGCUGCCCAAAGGGGUCCCUGGAGCAGGAUGGUGGCUGUGUGCCAAUUGGGCACUGUGACUGCACCGAUGCCCAGGGCCACAGCUGGGCCCCGGGGAGCCAGCACCAGGAUGCCUGCAACAACUGCUCAUGCCAAGCUGGGUAGCUCUCCUGCACGGCUCAGCCCUGCCCGCCUCCCACCCACUGUGCCUGGAGCCGCUGGUCGGCCUGGAGUCCCUGCAGCCACUCAUGCGGGCCCGGAGGGCAGCAGAGCCGCUUCCGGUCCUCCACGUCGGGCUCGUGGGCCCCAGAGUGUCGGGAGGAGCAGUCCCAGAGCCAGCCCUGCCCUCAGCCCUCGUGCCCACCCCUGUGCCUGCAGGGCACUCGCUCCCGCACCCUGGGGGACAGCUGGCUGCAGGGGGAGUGCCAGCGGUGCUCCUGCACCGCGGAGGGUGUGAUCUGCGAAGACACGGAGUGUGCAGUGCCUGAGGCCUGGACGCUGUGGUCCUCCUGGUCCGACUGCCCUGUCUCCUGUGGAGGUGGAAACCAGGUCCGAACCCGGGCCUGCAGGGCCGCAGCCCCUCACCACAGGAGCCCACCCUGCCUGGGCCCUGACACCCAGACCCAGCCCUGCGGGCAGCAGCCUUGCCCAGGGCUGCUGGAGGCCUGCUCCUGGGGCCCGUGGGGGCCCUGUUCCCGCAGCUGCGGCCCAGGCCUGGCCUCUCGCUCUGGGUCCUGCCCCUGCCUGAUGGCCAAGGCCGACCCCACCUGCAACAGCACCUUCCUCCACCUGGACACCCAGGGCUGCUACCCAGGGCUCUGCCCAGAGGAGUGUGUGUGGAGCAGCUGGAGCAGCUGGACGCGCUGCUCUUGCCGGGUGCUGGUGCAGCAGCGCUACCGACACCAGGGCCCGGCGUCCCGAGGGGCCAGGGCAGGCGCCCCCUGCACGCGGCUGGAUGGCCACUUCCGGCCUUGCCUUAUCAGCAACUGCUCUGAGGACAGCUGCACACCUCCCUUUGAGUUCCAUGCCUGCGGCUCCCCCUGUGCUGGGCUGUGUGCCACACACCUGAGCCAUCAGCUCUGCCAGGACCUGCCACCCUGCCAGCCGGGCUGCUACUGCCCCAAGGGGCUGCUGGAGCAGGCUGGGGGCUGCAUUCCCCCGGAGGAGUGUAACUGCUGGCAUACCUCAGCAGCGGGAGCCGGGAUGACCCUGGCCCCUGGGGACCGCCUGCAGCUGGGCUGUAAGGAGUGUGAAUGCCGGCGUGGGGAGCUGCACUGCACCAGCCAGGGCUGUCAAGGUCUUCUGCCUCUGAGUGAGUGGUCUGAGUGGUCGCCCUGUGGGCCCUGCCUGCCGCCCAGCGCCCUGGCCCCUGCCUCCAGGACUGCCCUAGAGGAGCGCUGGCUCCGAGACCCAACUGGCCUCUCCCCCACCUCGGCCCCACUGCUGGCUUCAGAGCAGCACCGCCACCGGCUCUGUCUGGAUCCUGUGACAAGGAGGCCCUGGACUGGAGCGCCUCACCUCUGCACCGCACCCCUCAGCCAGCAGCGCCUCUGCCCUGACCCUGGAGCCUGCCCUGACUCAUGCCAGUGGAGUCUGUGGGGGCCAUGGAGCCCCUGCCAGGUGCCCUGCAGUGGGGGGUUCAGGCUACGCUGGAGAGAGGCAGAGGCCCUCCGUGGAGGAGGCUGCCAGGGGCCAUGGGCUCAGACAGAAAGCUGCAACAGAGGGCCCUGCCCAGGUGAGAGCUGCGAGGCCCAAGACACUGUAUUCACCCUGGACUGUGCCAACCAGUGCCCACGCAGCUGUGCCGACCUCUGGGACCGCGUUCAGUGCCUGCAGGGACCCUGCCGCCCAGGCUGCCGCUGUCCCCCUGGCCAGCUGGUCCAGGAUGGGCGCUGUGUGCCGAUCUCCUCUUGCCGCUGUGGCCUCCCCAGUGCCAAUGCCUCUUGGGAGCUGGCCCCGGCCCAGGCAGUGCAGCUGGACUGCCAAAACUGCACCUGUGUCAACGGGUCCCUGGUGUGCCCACACCAGGAGUGUCCAGUCCUUGGGCCUUGGUCAGCCUGGAGCAGUUGCUCGGCCCCCUGUGGUGGGGGCCCUAUGGAGCGACAUCGGACCUGCGAGGGGGGUCCUGGGGUGGCACCAUGCCAGGCCCAGGACACAGAGCAACGGCAGGAGUGUAACCUGCAGCCCUGCCCUGAGUGCCCCCCUGGCCAGGUGCUUAGCACCUGUGCCACCUCAUGCCCGCGCCUCUGCUGGCAUCUGCAGCCUGGUGCCAUCUGUGUGCAGGAGCCCUGCCAGCCUGGCUGUGGCUGCUCUGGAGGGCAGCUGCUGCACAAUGGCACGUGUGUGCCUCCCACUGCCUGCCCCUGCACCCAGCAUUCUCUGCCCUGGGGCCUCACCCUGACCCUGGAAGAGCAGGCCCAGGAGCUACCCCCAGGGACUGUGCUCACCCGGAACUGCACCCGCUGUGUCUGCCACGGUGGAGCCUUCAGCUACUCCCUCAUUGACUGUCAGGAGUGCCCCCCUGGGGAAAUGUGGCAGCAGGUGGCCCCGGGGAGCUGGGGCUCUGCGAGCAGACGUGCCUGGAGAUGAAUGCCACAGAGACCCAGAGUAACUGCAGUUCAGCUCGAGCCUCGGGCUGCGUGUGCCAGCCCGGGCACUUCCGCAGCCAGGCAGGCCCCUGCGUCCCCGAAGACCACUGCGAGUGCUGGCACCUCGGGCAUCCCCACCUGCCUGGAUCUGAAUGGCAGGAGGCCUGUGAGAGCUGCCUCUGCCUCAGUGGGAGGCCUGUCUGCACCCAGCACUGCUCCCCACUCACCUGUGCUCAGGGCGAGGAGAUGGUGCUGGAGCCAGGGAGCUGCUGUCCCUCUUGCCGCAGGGAGGCUCCGGAGGAGCAGUCGCCCUCCUGCCAGCUCCUCACGGAGCUUCGAAACUUCACCAAAGGGACCUGUUACCUGGACCAGGUAGAAGUGAGCUACUGCAGUGGGUACUGCCCAUCCAGCACCCAUGUCAUGCCAGAGGAGCCAUACCUGCAGAGCCAGUGUGACUGCUGCAGCUACCGUCUAGACCCGGAGAGCCCUGUGCGGAUCCUGAACCUGCGCUGUCUGGGUGGCCACACAGAGCCCGUGGUGCUGCCGGUCAUCCACAGCUGCCAGUGCAGCUCCUGCCAGGGAGGUGACUUCUCAAAGCGCUAACAGGCUCCGCUGGGUGAGUCCACAGCUGUCCCUCUUGUGAUCAUGGGACUCAGCAGCACUGACCACGUCCUUCCACGCUCUCUCACCUGCCCCCAACUGGGGGCCCAUGACUUGGCAUUAGCAUGUUCCAAAUAAAGUGAUACU